Non-coding RNA from Vicia faba (fava bean), 216 nucleotides. NCBI's taxonomy places the organism in Eukaryota, Viridiplantae, Streptophyta, Magnoliopsida, Fabales, Fabaceae. The record is from the annotation of a GenBank genome assembly.
AUGGGUGCCAUUGCAACAACAGUUGAUGUGAAGAAGUGGUGGCUGUGGGGUUACUGGCUUUCACCAAUGAUGUAUGGACAGAAUGCUAUAGCUGUGAAUGAAUUCCUUGGAAAGAGUUGGUCCUAUAUUCCACCUGGUUCAACAGAACCAUUAGGAGUGCAGAUUUUGAAGUCCCGUGGGAUUUCCCUGAAGCAUAUUGGUAUUGGAUUGGAGUAG